RNAcentral lists this ribosomal RNA (121 nucleotides) under Castor canadensis (American beaver). The record is from RNAcentral. Lineage: Eukaryota; Metazoa; Chordata; Mammalia; Rodentia; Castoridae.
AUCUACAGCCAUACCACCCUAAACGCACCCGAUCCCAUCUGAUAUCGGAAGCUAAGGAAAGUUGGGCCUGGUUGGUACUUGGAUGGGAAAUAAGUGGAUAAAUUUUGGUGAGCAGUUAGUC